This 253-nucleotide ribosomal RNA is filed under the name uncultured bacterium. Its description in RNAcentral is "partial 16S ribosomal RNA". It matches the Rfam family "Bacterial small subunit ribosomal RNA", at positions 524 to 776 of the family's 1533-position model. The record is from RNAcentral.
UACGUAGGCAGCAAGCGUUGUUCGGAGUUACUGGGCGUAAAGAGUGUGUAGGCGGUGCUCUAAGUUCGGUGUGAAAUCUCCCGGCUCAACUGGGAGGGUGCGCCGAAAACUGGAGUGCUGGAGCGCGGGAGAGGAAAGCGGAAUUCCUGGUGUAGCGGUGAAAUGCGCAGAUAUCAGGAGGAACACCGGUGGCGAAGGCGGGUCUCUGGGCCGAUACUGACGCUGAGGAGCGAAAGCGUGGGGAGCGAACAGG